CAGUCGCCACGGUAAUACGGAGGGUGCAAGCGUUAAUCGGAAUUACUGGGCGUAAAGCGCACGCAGGCGGUCUGUCAAGUCAGAUGUGAAAUCCCCGGGCUUAACCUGGGAACUGCAUUUGAAACUGGCAGGCUAGAGUCUUGUAGAGGGGGGUAGAAUUCCAGGUGUAGCGGUGAAAUGCGUAGAGAUCUGGAGGAAUACCGGUGGCGAAGGCGGCCCCCUGGACAAAGACUGACGCUCAGGUGCGAAAGCGUGGGGAGCAAACAGGAUUAGAUACCCCAGUAGUCCCUGUCCCUUAUAA
Molecule: ribosomal RNA, 301 nt
Filed under: uncultured bacterium
Lineage: Bacteria
Description: partial 16S ribosomal RNA
Rfam family: Bacterial small subunit ribosomal RNA
Source: RNAcentral